RNAcentral lists this ribosomal RNA (404 nucleotides) under uncultured prokaryote. RNAcentral's name for it is "bacterial SSU rRNA". It matches the Rfam family "Bacterial small subunit ribosomal RNA", at positions 355 to 776 of the family's 1533-position model. The record is from RNAcentral. RNAcentral also lists the same sequence under 1 other name.
UGAGGAAUAUUGCACAAUGGGGGAAACCCUGAUGCAGCAACGCCGCGUGGAGGAUGACGCAUUUCGGUGUGUAAACUCCUUUUAUGAGUCAAGAAAAUGACGGUAGCUCAUGAAUAAGCACCGGCUAACUCCGUGCCAGCAGCCGCGGUAAUACGGAGGGUGCAAGCGUUACUCGGAAUCACUGGGCGUAAAGGACGCGUAGGCGGGUUGUCAAGUCAGGUGUGAAAUCCUACAGCUUAACUGUAGAACUGCACUUGAAACUGGCAACCUAGAGUAUGGGAGGGGGAGAUGGAAUUAGUAGUGUAGGGGUAAAAUCCGUAGAUAUUACUAGGAAUAUCAAAAGCGAAGGCGAUCUCCUGGAACAUUACUGACGCUAAGGCGUGAAAGCGUGGGGAGCAAACAGG